Non-coding RNA from Podarcis lilfordi (Lilford's wall lizard), 71 nucleotides. The record is from the annotation of a GenBank genome assembly. NCBI's taxonomy places the organism in Eukaryota, Metazoa, Chordata, Lepidosauria, Squamata, Lacertidae.
GGGCCAUAGCUCAAUGGUAGAGGUCUUGCUUUGCAUGUAGAAGGUGACAGGUUCAAUCCCUGGCAUCUCUA